GCUUCGCUCCCGGAUGUUAGCGGCGGACGGGUGAGUAACACGUGGGUAACCUGCCUGUAAGACUGGGAUAACUCCGGGAAACCGGAGCUAAUACCGGAUAGUUCCUUGAACCGCAUGGUUCAAGGAUGAAAGACGGUUUCGGCUGUCACUUACAGAUGGACCCGCGGCGCAUUAGCUAGUUGGUGGGGUAAUGGCUCACCAAGGCGACGAUGCGUAGCCGACCUGAGAGGGUGAUCGGCCACACUGGGACUGAGACACGGCCCAGACUCCUACGGGAGGCAGCAGUAGGGAAUCUUCCGCAAUGGACGAAAGUCUGACGGAGCAACGCCGCGUGAGUGAUGAAGGUUUUCGGAUCGUAAAGCUCUGUUGUUAGGGAAGAACAAGUGCGAGAGUAACUGCUCGCACCUUGACGGUACCUAACCAGAAAGCCACGGCUAACUACGUGCCAGCAGCCGCGGUAAUACGUAGGUGGCAAGCGUUGUCCGGAAUUAUUGGGCGUAAAGGGCUCGCAGGCGGUUUCUUAAGUCUGAUGUGAAAGCCCCCGGCUCAACCGGGGAGGGUCAUUGGAAACUGGGAAACUUGAGUGCAGAAGAGGAGAGUGGAAUUCCACGUGUAGCGGUGAAAUGCGUAGAGAUGUGGAGGAACACCAGUGGCGAAGGCGACUCUCUGGUCUGUAACUGACGCUGAGGAGCGAAAGCGUGGGGAGCGAACAGGAUUAGAUACCCUGGUAGUCCACGCCGUAAACGAUGAGUGCUAAGUGUUAGGGGGUUUCCGCCCCUUAGUGCUGCAGCUAACGCAUUAAGCACUCCG
This 810-nucleotide ribosomal RNA is filed under the name Bacillus pumilus. RNAcentral describes it as "bacterial SSU rRNA". It matches the Rfam family "Bacterial small subunit ribosomal RNA", at positions 73 to 871 of the family's 1533-position model. Lineage: Bacteria; Bacillati; Bacillota; Bacilli; Caryophanales; Bacillaceae. The record is from RNAcentral.